This 412-nucleotide ribosomal RNA is filed under the name bacterium enrichment culture clone ALO1_GLFRUDD03HD05L. RNAcentral's name for it is "bacterial SSU rRNA". It matches the Rfam family "Bacterial small subunit ribosomal RNA", at positions 9 to 424 of the family's 1533-position model. The record is from RNAcentral.
GAGUUUGACUUGGCUCAGAUUGAACGCUGGCGGCAUGCCUUACACAUGCAAGUCGAACGGCAGCACGGGAGCUUGCUCCUGGUGGCGAGUGGCGAACGGGUGAGUAAUGCAUCGGAACGUAUCCUGGAGUGGGGGAUAACGUAGCGAAAGUUACGCUAAUACCGCAUAUUCUGUGAGCAGGAAAGCGGGGGACCUUCGGGCCUCGCGCUCUUGGAGCGGCCGAUGUCGGAUUAGCUAGUUGGUGAGGUAAAGGCUCACCAAGGCGACGAUCCGUAGCAGGUCUGAGAGGAUGAUCUGCCACACUGGAACUGAGACACGGUCCAGACUCCUACGGGAGGCAGCAGUGGGGAAUUUUGGACAAUGGGGGCAACCCUGAUCCAGCCAUGCCGCGUGAGUGAAGAAGGCCUCGGUU